GGGGAAUUAGCUCCAUUGGUAGAGCGCUCGCUUAGCAUGUGAGAGGUACAGGGAUCGAUACCCUGAUUAUCCA
This 73-nucleotide transfer RNA is filed under the name Dreissena polymorpha. It matches the Rfam family "tRNA". Rfam says of the family: Transfer RNA (tRNA) molecules are approximately 80 nucleotides in length. Their secondary structure includes four short double-helical elements and three loops (D, anti-codon, and T loops). Further hydrogen bonds mediate the characteristic L-shaped molecular structure. tRNAs have two regions of fundamental functional importance: the anti-codon, which is responsible for specific mRNA codon recognition, and the 3' end, to which the tRNAs corresponding amino acid is attached (by aminoacyl-tRNA synthetases). tRNAs cope with the degeneracy of the genetic code in two manners: having more than one tRNA (with a specific anti-codon) for a particular amino acid; and 'wobble' base-pairing, i.e. permitting non-standard base-pairing at the 3rd anti-codon position. The record is from Rfam by way of RNAcentral. Lineage: Eukaryota; Metazoa; Mollusca; Bivalvia; Myida; Dreissenidae.